Molecule: long non-coding RNA, 1275 nt
Filed under: Triticum aestivum (bread wheat)
Lineage: Eukaryota; Viridiplantae; Streptophyta; Magnoliopsida; Poales; Poaceae
Description: long non-coding RNA (TAES_LNC023006)
Source: RNAcentral
GCAGAGGGUCUGUCGCACGGGACCCACAGGCGGUGGGCGACCGCACGGCCAGUCCCGGAUCGGACGGCCGAAGCCUGACGGGGCCCGCCGCCCAUGCCUCAGGCCUAGAUUUCGGCGGAGAAUGGCGGAUCGACCGGGGCGCGUGCAGCGAUCGGACGGUCGAGACGAGAGCGACACCAGCUGCAUUCCUUCCUCCAUCCUCUGUCUUCUUGGAGCCGCAGUCACUCUGGUCUUCCCCAUCGCUUCUUCUGUGAAAGGAAUCUCCCCCGCUCCAUACUCCAUAGCCCCCUCGCCGUUUUCCUCUUCCAGUCUCGUUUCGGCGCCUACACCUUCCAGAAGGGAAGGCUACGCUGCUGCAUUCGCAAAUAAAAACUCUGAAAGCUAGCCGAGCUCUACUCCUCUGUCCCGUACCACCUUUCAUCUCCCUUCCUCCCCCUUAAUUUGACUCUUCACUCCACCCUGAGCACCUUCCAGCACGGCCACCUCACUCCAGCCCGAUCUUCCAGCGCGGCUCCACGGCAAGGGCUCUGCCGCCGCUCCUUGCCCUACAGUUACCGACGACGGGCGGUGCACCGUUUACACGGCGGGUAAACUCGCCACGGGGGCGGCCGGGAACGGCGGCGGUAUCAGCCGGGCGGGCAAGCCGUCAGUUGCCUGUAAGUACCCCAUCCCACCGGUCAGUGUGGUUGGCCACCGCCCUUCUGUACUUCCUCGUCCUCUAACCACUCUAGGAUAGUACCAGCAUCACCAUUAAUUAGUAGUAGCACCCUCCUCGUCACGCCGGCCGGCAAGAGGCGGAGAAGGUGCGCACUCAAUCGAAACGGCCGGCACUGACGCACCGCGUUCGUGUCGCUUGCCAUUCCCCGUCCAUUUAUUCCUUCCCAGCUUCCUCCCUCUCUGCUUUCGUGUCGUGUCGAUCGUUAAGCUUUGUCUAACCGUGCCCAGCUUGCAUCGCGUGUUUUGCUCCCCGUUCCGUUCUUCACAAGUCAAACCCCCAACAGCUGUUUUCAGUUUUGAUUAACACCAAAACCGAACGUAUACGCUCUUGAUUACGCAGUCCUCCCUUGUCAGCUCAUGUCACGUCAUCCGCCUGUAUAUUUUCCCCUAGAGAAAAACUAGAUUCUUUCCCAGAUUUUCCAGAUCGUUUUCUUUACAUCACAUUGAUUUUCAGAUCAUUUUUCGACGCCAAGAUACACCGCACACUGUUUACCCGACGGGUAGACUAGCCAAGGGGCCGGCCAGGAGCAGCGGCGAUAUCUACCGGGCAGGAAGCCG